RNAcentral lists this long non-coding RNA (230 nucleotides) under Homo sapiens (human). RNAcentral's name for it is "non-protein coding lnc-KIF4B-1:3". Lineage: Eukaryota; Metazoa; Chordata; Mammalia; Primates; Hominidae. The record is from RNAcentral.
GGCAUCUUCAGAAAGAAGUAUUAAAACUUUCCUAGCGUGUUAAAUUCUGCUACCUCACCAACGACAACUUGGACCUUGACCUCCAAUGUGUGUUCGACCAAAUUCCCUUCGUAGAGGCUGGGAAGAGAGGGUAUAUCGCUUUCAGCUCAGAGGCUUACGUUGAAAGAGGAAGUUUGGAGAUAAAUGCUCUUUUUCUCUUCAUGUCAGUCUGGUGAGAUGCCCCUUCAACU